Transfer RNA from Toxoplasma gondii VEG, 73 nucleotides. It matches the Rfam family "tRNA". From Rfam's summary of the family: Transfer RNA (tRNA) molecules are approximately 80 nucleotides in length. Their secondary structure includes four short double-helical elements and three loops (D, anti-codon, and T loops). The record is from Rfam. NCBI's taxonomy places the organism in Eukaryota, Apicomplexa, Conoidasida, Eucoccidiorida, Sarcocystidae.
GUAAAUGAAGUUAAAUGGUUUUAACCCUAGAUUGUGGUUCUAGUUAUAGCAAGUUCAAUUCUUGUCAUUUAUC